This 253-nucleotide ribosomal RNA is filed under the name uncultured bacterium. RNAcentral describes it as "partial 16S ribosomal RNA". It matches the Rfam family "Bacterial small subunit ribosomal RNA", at positions 524 to 776 of the family's 1533-position model. The record is from RNAcentral.
UACAGAGGUCUCAAGCGUUGUUCGGAUUCAUUGGGCGUAAAGGGUGCGUAGGCGGCGUGGUAAGUCGGGUGUGAAAUUUCGGAGCUUAACUCCGAAACUGCAUUCGAUACUGCUGUGCUUGAGGACUGGAGAGGAGAGUGGAAUUUACGGUGUAGCAGUGAAAUGCGUAGAGAUCGUAAGGAAGACCAGUGGCGAAGGCGGGUCUCUGGACAGUUCCUGACACUGAGGCACGAAGGCGAGGGGAGCAAACGGG